This 465-nucleotide ribosomal RNA is filed under the name Vreelandella stevensii. Its description in RNAcentral is "partial 16S ribosomal RNA". It matches the Rfam family "Bacterial small subunit ribosomal RNA", at positions 338 to 795 of the family's 1533-position model. The record is from RNAcentral. Lineage: Bacteria; Pseudomonadati; Pseudomonadota; Gammaproteobacteria; Oceanospirillales; Halomonadaceae.
CCUACGGGGGGCAGCAGUGGGGAAUAUUGGACAAUGGGGGGAACCCUGAUCCAGCCAUGCCGCGUGUGUGAAGAAGGCCCUCGGGUUGUAAAGCACUUUCAGUGAGGAAGAACGCCUGGUGGUUAAUACCCAUCAGGAAAGACAUCACUCACAGAAGAAGCACCGGCUAACUCCGUGCCAACAGCCGCGGUAAUACGGAGGGUGCGAGCGUUAAUCGGAAUUACUGGGCGUAAAGCGCGCGUAGGUGGCUUGAUAAGCCGGUUGUGAAAGCCCCGGGCUCAACCUGGGAACGGCAUCCGGAACUGUCAAGCUAGAGUGCAGGAGAGGAAGGUAGAAUUCCCGGUGUAGCGGUGAAAUGCGUAGAGAUCGGGAGGAAUACCAGUGGCGAAGGCGGCCUUCUGGACUGACACUGACACUGAGGUGCGAAAGCGUGGGUAGCAAACAGGAUUAGAUACCCGUGUAGUC